Non-coding RNA from Archocentrus centrarchus (flier cichlid), 683 nucleotides. The record is from the annotation of a RefSeq genome assembly. NCBI's taxonomy places the organism in Eukaryota, Metazoa, Chordata, Actinopteri, Cichliformes, Cichlidae.
GUUCAGUUUUACCUGGAAAAAACUUUAUUUUCAGUAUUUAGAUGCUUGUUCAGAGUGCAGGAGGUUUUUGUACGGCCACUCAAUGAGUUUGUAUCACUGUGGUGGACUUUUGGUGGAGGAACCAAACUCAUCAUUCAUUCUGGCCCCAUGGUCAGACCCUCAGUCUCUCUGCUUCAACCCUCCUCUAAGCAGCUCUCUGGGGGCUCAGCCACGCUGGCCUGCCUCCUGACCAGCUACUCUCCUCAGGGAGCUGAGGUGAUAUGGGAGGUGGAUGGCACACAGGUGACAGAGGGAAUCCUGAUCAGCUCAGAGGAGGAGAAGAGUGGACGCUACAGCAGCAGCAGCACCCUGACACUGAGCCAGGAGAGCUGGAUGAAUGGAGAUCUGUACUCCUGCAAGGUCAUCCAUCAUGAGCACACACAGUCCCAGUCCCUCCGUAGGAGCCAGUGUGCAGGGUAGAAGGGCUGCUGAAUCUCAGGACAGGAGCUUAGUGUGAGAGAGCAGUAGGUGCAUCCCUGCUGCUCUAAUCAAUCAGUUUUAUACUUAGAGAGGAAACUAGAGCUUUCUGUGUGAGAGAAUAACACUGCUGUAAAGUGUUUAUAACAACAACAUGAGUAGAUUUGAAGCUAGAUGUGGGUAUGCUUAUUAAUGAUUGAUGUUUGAUUGAUGUUUGUUUCAAUAAA